UUGAAAGCUGGCGUCUUCGGCGUCCGCAUUGUAAUCUCAAGAAGUGUUUUCCGCUUCGGACCAUGCCUAAGUCCCUUGGAAAAGGGCAUCAUAGAGGGUGAUAAUCCCGUACAUGGCAUGGAGCGCCCGAAGCUUUGUGAUACGCUUUCUAAGAGUCGAGUUGUUUGGGAAUGCAGCUCAAAAUGGGUGGUAAAUGCCAUCUAAGGCUAAAUAUUGGGGAGAGACCGAUAGCGAACAAGUACAGUGAUGGAAAGAUGAAAAGAACUUUGAAAAGAGAGUUAAACAGUACGUGAAAUUGCCAAAAGGGAAGGGUAGGAGGUCAGAGAUGCGGCCUAGGAUUCAGCCUUGCUUUUGCUUGGUGUUUUUCCUGCGUUGCAGGCCAACGUCGGUUUUGGGCACUGGAGAAGGGUAGGAGGAACGUGGCACCUCUCGGGGUGUGUUAUAGCCUCCUACUGGAUACAGCGACCGAGACCGAGGAACGCAGCGUACUCGCAAGAGCGGGCCUUCGGGCACCUUUACGCUUAGGGCGUUGGCAUAAUGGCCCUCUACCACCCGUCUUGAA
This 562-nucleotide ribosomal RNA is filed under the name uncultured Pseudozyma. RNAcentral describes it as "eukaryotic LSU rRNA". It matches the Rfam family "Eukaryotic large subunit ribosomal RNA", at positions 115 to 658 of the family's 3401-position model. The record is from RNAcentral. Lineage: Eukaryota; Fungi; Basidiomycota; Ustilaginomycetes; Ustilaginales; Ustilaginaceae.